Molecule: ribosomal RNA, 899 nt
Filed under: Fusarium sporotrichioides var. sporotrichioides
Lineage: Eukaryota; Fungi; Ascomycota; Sordariomycetes; Hypocreales; Nectriaceae
Description: LSU rRNA
Rfam family: Eukaryotic large subunit ribosomal RNA
Source: RNAcentral
GCAUAUCAAUAAGCGGAGGAAAAGAAACCAACAGGGAUUGCCCUAGUAACGGCGAGUGAAGCGGCAACAGCUCAAAUUUGAAAUCUGGCUCUCGGGCCCGAGUUGUAAUUUGUAGAGGAUGACUUUGAUGCGGUGCCUUCCGAGUUCCCUGGAACGGGACGCCAUAGAGGGUGAGAGCCCCGUCUGGUUGGAUGCCAAAUCUCUGUAAGUCUCCUUCGACGAGUCGAGUAGUUUGGGAAUGCUGCUCUAAAUGGGAGGUAUAUGUCUUCUAAAGCUAAAUACCGGCCAGAGACCGAUAGCGCACAAGUAGAGUGAUCGAAAGAUGAAAAGCACUUUGAAAAGAGAGUUAAAAAGUACGUGAAAUUGUUGAAAGGGAAGCGUUUAUGACCAGACUUGGGCUUGGUUAAUCAUCUGGGGUUCUCCCCAGUGCACUUUUCCAGUUCAGGCCAGCAUCAGUUUUCGCCGGGGGAUAAAGACUUCGGGAAUGUGGCUCCUCUCGGGGAGUGUUAUAGCCCGUUGUGUAAUACCCUGGUGGGGACUGAGGUUCGCGCUUCUGCAAGGAUGCUGGCGUAAUGGUCAUCAACGACCCGUCUUGAAACACGGACCAAGGAGUCGUCUUCGUAUGCGAGUGUUCGGGUGUCAAACCCCUACGCGUAAUGAAAGUGAACGCAGGUGAGAGCUUCGGCGCAUCAUCGACCGAUCCUGAUGUUCUCGGAUGGAUUUGAGUAAGAGCAUACGGGGCCGGACCCGAAAGAAGGUGAACUAUGCCUGUGUAGGGUGAAGCCAGAGGAAACUCUGGUGGAGGCUCGCAGCGGUUCUGACGUGCAAAUCGAUCGUCAAACAUGGGCAUGGGGGGCGAAAGACUAAUCGAACCUUCUAGUAGCUGGUUUCCGCCGAAG